Molecule: ribosomal RNA, 479 nt
Filed under: uncultured bacterium
Lineage: Bacteria
Description: partial 16S ribosomal RNA
Rfam family: Bacterial small subunit ribosomal RNA
Source: RNAcentral
GAUGAACGCUAGCGGGAGGCCUAACACAUGCAAGCCGAGCGGUAUUGUUUCUUCGGAAAUGAGAGAGCGGCGUACGGGUGCGUAACACGUGUGCAACCUGCCUUUAUCUGGGGGAUAGCCUUUCGAAAGGAAGAUUAAUACUCCAUAAUAUAUUGAACGGCAUCGUUUAAUAUUGAAAGCUCCGGCGGAUAGAGAUGGGCACGCGCAAGAUUAGCUAGUUGGUGAGGUAACGGCUCACCAAGGCGAUGAUCUUUAGGGGGCCUGAGAGGGUGAUCCCCCACACUGGUACUGAGACACGGACCAGACUCCUACGGGAGGCAGCAGUGAGGAAUAUUGGUCAAUGGGUGCUAGCCUGAACCAGCCAUCCCGCGUGAAGGACGACUGCCCUAUGGGUUGUAAACUUCUUUUGUAUAGGGAUAAACCUACCCUCGAGAGGGUAGCUGACGGUACUAUACGAAUAAGCACCGGCUAACUCCGUG